CAAUAGCGUAUAUUAAAGUUGUUGCAGUUAGAACGCUCGUAGUCGGAUUUCGGGGCGGGUCGACCGGUCUGCCGAUGGGUACGCACUGGCCGACGCGUCCUUCCUUCCGGAGACCGUCCCUACUCUUAACUGAGCGGGGGCGGGAGACGGAACGUUUACUUUGAAAAAAUCAGAGUGUUUCAAGCAGGCAUCUCGCUCUUGCAUGGAUUAGCAUGGGAUAAUGAAAUAGGACUUUGGUGCUAUUUUGUUGGUUUCGAACACCGAAGUAAUGAUGAGAAGGGACAGUCAGGGGCACUCGUAUUCCGCCGAGAGAGGUGAAAUUCUCAGACCAGCGGAAGACGAACCACUGCGAAAGCAUUUGCCAGGGAUGUUUNCACUGA
Molecule: ribosomal RNA, 380 nt
Filed under: uncultured eukaryote
Lineage: Eukaryota
Description: partial 18S ribosomal RNA
Rfam family: Eukaryotic small subunit ribosomal RNA
Source: RNAcentral